AUUGAACGCUGGCGGAAUGCUUUACACAUGCAAGUCGAACGGCAGCACGGACUUCGGUCUGGUGGCGAGUGGCGAACGGGUGAGUAAUGUAUCGGAACGUGCCCAGUCGUGGGGGAUAACGUAGUGAAAAUUACGCUAAUACCGCAUAAGAUCUAUGGAUGAAAGCGGGGGAUCGCAAGACCUCGCGCGAUUGGAGCGGCCGAUAUCAGAUUAGGUAGUUGGUGGGGUAAAGGCCCACCAAGCCAACGAUCUGUAGCUGGUCUGAGAGGACGACCAGGCACACAGGAACUGAGACACGGGCCAGACGCCGACGGGAGGCAGCAGUGGGGAAUUUUGGACAAUGGGCGCAAGCCUGAUCCAGCCAUGCCGCGUGCAGGAUGAAGGCCCUCGGGUUGUAAACUGCUUUUGUACAGAACGAAAAGGUUUCUACUAAUACUAGGAGCUCAUGACGGUACUGUAAGAAUAAGCACCGGCUAACUACGUGCCAGCCGCCGCCGUAA
RNAcentral lists this ribosomal RNA (500 nucleotides) under uncultured bacterium. RNAcentral's name for it is "partial 16S ribosomal RNA". It matches the Rfam family "Bacterial small subunit ribosomal RNA", at positions 30 to 523 of the family's 1533-position model. The record is from RNAcentral.